This 378-nucleotide small RNA is filed under the name Arabidopsis thaliana (thale cress). RNAcentral describes it as "ATSL162080". The record is from RNAcentral. Lineage: Eukaryota; Viridiplantae; Streptophyta; Magnoliopsida; Brassicales; Brassicaceae.
GACCCAUAAAAUCAAUCCCCCAUACAUCAAAGAUCUCAACUUCCACGAUUGGAUUCUGAGGCAUCUCAUUUAUUCUGCUGAUGUUGUCUUUUCUCUGGCAUGAAUCACACUUUGAAACAAACUCCUGAGCGUCCUUAAACAUUGUUGGCCACCAAAAGCCUGCUUGAAGAAUCUUGGACACUGUCUUGAACGUCGCGAAGUGACCACCAUAUGCUGAGCAAUGGCAAUGCAGCAGGAUACCUUCCACUUCAUCUUCUGAGACACAUCUCCUGUAGAUCUUAUCUUUAAUCCCAGUAGUAAUGGUGUAUGUCUCUGAAAAACUUCUUCCUUUCAUAACUUGUCAGGUUGGGAGGCUCUACUCCGCACGCCAAGUAAUUG